This 114-nucleotide ribosomal RNA is filed under the name Streptococcus suis. Lineage: Bacteria; Bacillati; Bacillota; Bacilli; Lactobacillales; Streptococcaceae. The record is from RNAcentral. RNAcentral also lists the same sequence under 1 other name.
AGUGACGAUAGCCUAGGAGAUACACCUGUUCCCAUGCCGAACACAGCAGUUAAGCCCUAGAACGCCUGAAGUAGUUGGGGGUUGCCCCCUGUUAGAUACGGUAGUCGCUUAGCA